UAGCUCAGUUGGUAGAGCAUGGUGUUUGCAACGCCAGGGUUGUGGGUUUGAUUCCAAC
RNAcentral lists this transfer RNA (58 nucleotides) under Salmo salar (Atlantic salmon). It matches the Rfam family "tRNA", at positions 8 to 63 of the family's 71-position model. Rfam says of the family: Transfer RNA (tRNA) molecules are approximately 80 nucleotides in length. Lineage: Eukaryota; Metazoa; Chordata; Actinopteri; Salmoniformes; Salmonidae. The record is from Rfam by way of RNAcentral. RNAcentral also lists the same sequence under 2 other names.